RNAcentral lists this ribosomal RNA (561 nucleotides) under uncultured bacterium. RNAcentral's name for it is "bacterial SSU rRNA". It matches the Rfam family "Bacterial small subunit ribosomal RNA", at positions 338 to 916 of the family's 1533-position model. The record is from RNAcentral.
CCUACGGGAGGCAGCAGUGGGGAAUAUUGGACAAUGGGCGAAAGCCUGAUCCAGCAAUGCCGCGUGAGUGAUGAAGGCCUUAGGGUCGUAAAGCUCUUUUACCAGGGAUGAUAAUGACAGUACCUGGAGAAUAAGCUCCGGCUAACUCCGCGCCAGCAGCCGCGGUAAUACGGAGGGAGCUAGCGUUGUUCGGAAUUACUGGGCGUAAAGCGUGCGUAGGCGGUUAUUCAAGUCAGAGGUGAAAGCCCGGGGCUCAACCCCGGAACGGCCUUUGAAACUAGAUAACUAGAAUCUUGGAGAGGUCAGUGGAAUUCCGAGUGUAGAGGUGAAAUUCGUAGAUAUUCGGAAGAACACCAGUGGCGAAGGCGACUGACUGGACAAGUAUUGACGCUGAGGUACGAAAGCGUGGGGAGCAAACAGGAUUAGAUACCCUGGUAGUCCACGCCGUAAACGAUGAUAACUAGCUGUCCGGACACUUGGUGUUUGGGUGGCGCAGCUAACGCAUUAAGUUAUCCGCCUGGGGAGUACGGUCGCAAGAUUAAAACUCAAAGGAAUUGACGG